CUGGCGGCGUGCCUAACACAUGCAAGUCGAGCGGGGACAUGCGACGGAUAUGAAGUUUCGGAUGGAGUUGAAGAUGUAUGUUCUAGCGGCGGACGGGUGAGUAACGCGUGAACAAUCUGUCCUUCACAGGGGGAUAACACAGCGAAAGUUGUACUAAUACCGCAUGAGACCACGGUACUGCAUGGUACAGGGGUCAAAGGAGCAAUCCGGUGAAGGGUGAGUUCGCGUCCGAUUAGAUAGUUGGUGAGGUAACGGCCCACCAAGUCGACGAUCGGUAGCCGACCUGAGAGGGUGAUCGGCCACGUUGGGACUGAGACACGGCCCAAACUCCUACGGGAGGCAGCAGUGGGGAAUAUUGGGCAAUGGGGGGAAACCCUGACCCAGCAACGCCGCGUGAGGGAAGAAGGUUUUCGGAUCGUAAACCUCUGUCCUAGGUGAAGAGGAAGAGACGGUAGCCUAGGAGGAAGCCCCGGCUAACUACGUGCCAGCAGCCGC
Molecule: ribosomal RNA, 495 nt
Filed under: uncultured bacterium
Lineage: Bacteria
Description: bacterial SSU rRNA
Rfam family: Bacterial small subunit ribosomal RNA
Source: RNAcentral